RNAcentral lists this ribosomal RNA (301 nucleotides) under uncultured bacterium. Its description in RNAcentral is "partial 16S ribosomal RNA". It matches the Rfam family "Bacterial small subunit ribosomal RNA", at positions 509 to 807 of the family's 1533-position model. The record is from RNAcentral.
CAGCAGCCGCGGGAAUACGAAGGGUGCAAGCGUUAAUCGGAAUUACUGGGCGUAAAGCGUGCGUAGGCGGUGAGUUAAGUCUGCUGUGAAAUCCCCGGGCUCAACCUGGGAAUGGCAGUGGAUACUGGCUCGCUAGAGUGUGUCAGAGGAUGGUGGAAUUCCCGGUGUAGCGGUGAAAUGCGUAGAGAUCGGGAGGAACAUCAGUGGCGAAGGUGGCCAUCUGGGACAACACUGACGCUGAGGCACGAAAGCGUGGGGAGCAAACAGGAUUAGAUACCCGCGUAGUCCCUGUCUCUUAUAC